UACGUAGGGACCAAGCGUUGUUCGGAUUUACUGGGCGUAAAGGGCGCGUAGGCGGCGUGGUAAGUCAGCUGUGAAAUCUCCGAGCUUAACUCGGAACGGUCAGCUGAUACUGAUGUGCUAGAGUGCAGAAGGGGCAAUCGGAAUUCUUGGUGUAGCGGUGAAAUGCGUAGAUAUCAAGAGGAACACCUGAGGUGAAGACGGGUUGCUGGGCUGACACUGACGCUGAUGCGCGAAAGCCAGGGGAGCAAACGGG
Molecule: ribosomal RNA, 253 nt
Filed under: uncultured bacterium
Lineage: Bacteria
Description: partial 16S ribosomal RNA
Rfam family: Bacterial small subunit ribosomal RNA
Source: RNAcentral